RNAcentral lists this ribosomal RNA (253 nucleotides) under uncultured bacterium. Its description in RNAcentral is "partial 16S ribosomal RNA". It matches the Rfam family "Bacterial small subunit ribosomal RNA", at positions 524 to 776 of the family's 1533-position model. The record is from RNAcentral.
UACAGAGGGUGCAAGCGUUGUUCGGAAUUAUUGGGCGUAAAGCGCGUGUAGGCGGCUUUGCAAGUCGGGUGUGAAAGCCCUCAGCUCAGCUGAGGAAGUGCGCCCGAAACUGCAGAGCUUGAGUACCGGAGGGGAUGGCGGAAUUCCCCAAGUAGAGGUGAAAUUCGUAGAUAUGGGGAGGAACACCGGUGGCGAAGGCGGCCAUCUGGACGGAUACUGACGCUGAGACGCGAAAGCGUGGGUAGCAAACAGG